RNAcentral lists this ribosomal RNA (460 nucleotides) under uncultured bacterium. RNAcentral's name for it is "partial 16S ribosomal RNA". It matches the Rfam family "Bacterial small subunit ribosomal RNA", at positions 338 to 795 of the family's 1533-position model. The record is from RNAcentral.
CCUACGGGUGGCAGCAGUGAGGAAUAUUGGUCAAUGGGCGAGAGCCUGAACCAGCCAAGUAGCGUGAAGGAUGACUGCUCUACGGGUUGUAAACUUCUUUUAUAUGGGAAUAAAGUGUGGCACGUGUGCCUUUUUGUAUGUACCUUAUGAAUAAGGAUCGGCUAACUCCGUGCCAGCAGCCGCGGUAAUACGGAGGAUCCGAGCGUUAUCCGGAUUUAUUGGGUUUAAAGGGAGCGUAGAUGGGUUGUUAAGUCAGUUGUGAAAGUUUGCGGCUCAACCGUAAAAUUGCAAUUGAUACUGGCAGUCUUGAGUACAGUAGAGGUAGGCGGAAUUCGUGGUGUAGCGGUGAAAUGCUUAGAUAUCACGAAGAACUCCGAUGACGAAGGCAGCCUACUAAACUGCAACUGACAUUGAGGCUCGAAAGUGUGGGUAUCAAACAGGAUUAGAUACCCGAGUAGUC